This 591-nucleotide ribosomal RNA is filed under the name Diversispora sp. MAY-2012. RNAcentral's name for it is "eukaryotic LSU rRNA". It matches the Rfam family "Eukaryotic large subunit ribosomal RNA", at positions 76 to 609 of the family's 3401-position model. The record is from RNAcentral. Lineage: Eukaryota; Fungi; Glomeromycota; Glomeromycetes; Diversisporales; Diversisporaceae.
UCCCUCAGUAACGGCGAGUGAAGUGGGGAAAGCUCAAAUUUUAAAUCUACCUGGUACCCCAGGUCGAGUUGUAAUUUGAAGAAGCGUUUUCGGUGCUUCGGUCUGGUCCAAGUCCUUUGGAACAAGGCAUCACGGAGGGUGAGAAUCCCGUGCAUGGUCAGACCCGAAGUUCCAAUCAGAUACGCUCUCGAAGAGUCGAGUUGUUUGGGAAUGCAGCUCAAAUUGGGUGGUAGACUUCACCUAAGGCUAAAUAUCAGCGAGAGACCGAUAGCGAACAAGUACCGUGAGGGAAAGAUGAAAAGAACUUUGAAAAGAGAGUUAAACAGUACGUGAAAUUGUUGAAAGGGAAACGAUUGAAGUCAGUCGUGCCGAUGAGAAAUCAACUUGACGGGUUUCGGAUUUCUUGGGUUGAGUCAGGGUCAAACCGUCUCUCCCUUGAAUUCGGGAUUUGUUGGGUGUACUUUCUUUGUUGGCAGGUCAGCGUCGAUUUCGGGGGUCGUAAAAUAACUGGGGGAAUGUAGCUCCCUUCGGGGAGUGUUAUAGACCCUGGAGGAUGCGGUCCGCGAGAUCGAGGAUUGCAGCAAAUGCUCU